Molecule: ribosomal RNA, 410 nt
Filed under: bacterium enrichment culture clone ALO1_GLFRUDD03F3768
Lineage: Bacteria
Description: bacterial SSU rRNA
Rfam family: Bacterial small subunit ribosomal RNA
Source: RNAcentral
GAGUUUGAUCAUGGCUCAGAUUGAACGCUGGCGGCAUGCCUUACACAUGCAAGUCGAACGGCAGCACGGGAGCUUGCUCCUGGUGGCGAGUGGCGAACGGGUGAGUAAUGCAUCGGAACGUAUCCUGGAGUGGGGGAUAACGUAGCGAAAGUUACGCUAAUACCGCAUAUUCUGUGAGCAGGAAAGCGGGGGACCUUCGGGCCUCGCGCUCUUGGAGCGGCCGAUGUCGGAUUAGCUAGUUGGUGAGGUAAAGGCUCACCAAGGCGACGAUCCGUAGCAGGUCUGAGAGGAUGAUCUGCCACACUGGAACUGAGACACGGUCCAGACUCCCACGGGAGGCAGCAGUGGGGAAUUUUGGACAAUGGGGGCAACCCUGAUCCGGCCAUGCCGCGUGAGUGAAGAAGGCCUUC